AUUGAACGCUGGCGGCAGGCCUAGCACAUGCAAGUCGAACGGUAGCACAGAGAGCUUGCUCUCGGGUGACGAGUGGCGGACGGGUGAGUAAUGUCUGGGAAACUGCCCGAUGGAGGGGGAUAACUACUGGAAACGGUAGCUAAUACCGCAUAACGUCGCAAGACCAAAGUGGGGGACCUUCGGGCCUCACACCAUCGGAUGUGCCCAGAUGGGAUUAGCUAGUAGGUGGGGUAAUGGCUCACCUAGGCGACGAUCCCUAGCUGGUCUGAGAGGAUGACCAGCCACACUGGAACUGAGACACGGUCCAGACUCCUACGGGAGGCAGUAGUGGGGAAUAUUGCACAAUGGGCGCAAGCCUGAUGCAGCCAUGCCGCGUGUAUGAAGAAGGCCUUCGGGUUGUAAAGUACUUUCAGCGGGGAGGAAGGCGGUGAAGUUAAUAACUUCACCGAUUGACGUUACCCGCAGAAGAAGCACCGGCUAACUCCGUGCCAGCCGCCGCGGUAA
This 504-nucleotide ribosomal RNA is filed under the name uncultured bacterium. RNAcentral describes it as "partial 16S ribosomal RNA". It matches the Rfam family "Bacterial small subunit ribosomal RNA", at positions 30 to 523 of the family's 1533-position model. The record is from RNAcentral.